RNAcentral lists this long non-coding RNA (2384 nucleotides) under Salmo salar (Atlantic salmon). RNAcentral describes it as "lncRNA (ENSSSAG00000104959.1)". Lineage: Eukaryota; Metazoa; Chordata; Actinopteri; Salmoniformes; Salmonidae. The record is from RNAcentral.
ACCAAAGUGCCAAACAGCGCUGAUAAUAAACAUCGAUAUAGGAUACUUAUAUAGUGUAACGAACCUGGGUUUAUAAGCACGGAUAUCUACCCUGCAGCUCGGGCUUGUUUUGGGGCACAGUCGAUAGCACGCUGGACUUCGGGCUAGAAGGUCGAGGGUUCGAGACCUGCUCCCUGCCUGUUUCAUUACAAUAUAUUGAACACCUACCCACUACUGAUAUUAACUUUAAACAAUUUAUAGUCAAGCAACAUUUCACCAAUUAUUUAGCUGGCAAAUCGCCUGUUGACUGGUCAAGUAACCUCUUCGGCCAGGAAGUCCUUCAUAAGGAUUAGUCUGACAGGAGCCUCUGACUGGAUGUACAGUUAUACAGCCACCAUCCGCUGGGAUUUUGUGCUGUAUCGCUACAAUCUCUCUACAACACACACUCAUACUCUAGCCAUUACCAGUUUGUGUUAGCUACGCCAACCCUCUAGCUGAGCUGUUUCAGGCGGCAUGGCUGUGUUGUUACUGCUACUAGAAAUAACUAUUUCAUCUGGGGGCAACGAUAGGCUCAAACAUGAACGGUUUCAGUUGGUUUAUUGGCUCCCUAACUAACAAUUAUUUCCUUCUCUGUAAUAAACUAAUUCUCAGACUUGGCGCUACUCAGUAAAUUCAGCCAUUUUGGGGAGUUCCAAAAUGUUCUCGCCUGCCAGUGACAGCAAUGCCAAUAUGGCCAUUUACAGUUAGAGUUAGCUGGCUUCUAAAUCCGUGUUUCCAUUCACCUUUAUAUAAGAGGUGGUUCCCCUACAAACGCCUGAUCAUCUUAGUUUAGCAUGCCAUUGCUGCCAAGCUAGCUGCGUAGAACCAUGUCGUCGCAUUCAGUGCAUACAGUGCAGUACAGCACUUCCUUUGUCAUGCAGUUAUUUAUGACAAAUAUGGACAUGUGUCAGUUUGUCACUUUCAUGGUCAUGUAGUGAAGAUCUAUUCAGCUACUGCAGAAACUGUCUUGAAGAUAGCUAAUGUUUUGCGAUUUAGAGAAAACGUGCCAACAAGGGACGACGAGUUUGUCACUUUCCCCAUUGACAAGCAGUUUGCCCAAAUCCUGCCCUGCUCUGCUAAACAUCAUGUAAACGGCCGUCACAGAACGUUCCUGUCAGAAACCCUGCCUGUUUUAACGUCAUUUACCGUAGAUAUACAGAUGAAAGACCGCCCUCCUCACAAGCGGUGGUAUUAUUAAAGCAGGGUGUGCCGUUGAAACAGUCUGAUUUGAGAACAGGGGCUAGAUAAGCAAGUAGAUACUCUGUGUGCCCAGCAUCAUUUUAACAGCUUGUUUUGCUCUUUGAUUCUGUUCACAAUGGCACAGGUCAACAGAUGUCUGAAACAGCUGUUCUUUGGAUUCAACAUGUUGUCAGGGAUUGCAGGGUGUGUCCUAUUGGUUUUGGCAGUGAUCGCAGCACCAUAUAAUACAGAGCAUGACCAAGGAGAGUCAAUUGGCUUGACAUGGAUUAUAUCGACUGCAGUUGUUUCUGUGCUGCUCUCUUUACUUGGAGCAUAUGGUGCAUACAAAGAGAACAUUGUGAUACUGCGAGUGUUCCUUGGAAUAAUAGGCUUUGGAACAAUCUUCUUUCUUAUUGUUGGAUUUCAAAUGGCUCGUUCAAUGCCUGAGGCCAUGCAACUGAUUAAAGAAAACCUCCCUGCAAUUACAUCAGAAAUGAUGGCUGAUGCGAGCACCGACAAACUAUCAUGGCUCUACAAGUACAAGGUAAGUGUUGUGGAAUAAUGAGUUACAGAGACUGGGAUAGCAAGAUUCCAGAGACCUGUAAAUGUUCUAGUUUCAAGUCAGACCCGUCCCAAUGUAUGGAGGUGCAAACGACUAAAGAUGGCGGCAACUGGGGAAGAUCUGACAAAUCUGAAAUGAUGUGGAUCUACAGAGAGCCCUGUGGUCCUCUCAUCUUGAAGAACUUCGACUCUGCUUUUAAGACCGGACUUGGAUUCUUCUUGGGAUUUGGUGUUUAUUCUUUGAUUGGGCUAGUGUUAUCCGGCAUGAUGAUUCGUCAGAUCAAGAAGGUGCAGUCUACUGAAGUUCCUGAGACUAUAGACGAUGGAUAUCGUUUCACACCUUAAUUCCAGGCAAUUCGCCAUGUGGAGGGAGUUGUGGGAGUUGUGGGAGUUUAACCGACGACCUUACACCCAUAACCAGGGAUGAGGUCAGAGUUUCAGUUUUGGCAUCCUGGCAAGAGGCGAGGAGUAGAAGGUGCUCGAACAACGUGAGACGAGGUGCAACCAAAAAAAAGAAUAUGAGCGUUCGGAAUGAAAAGGCCCAACUCACUGCUCACCGUUCAUUUCAUUUGUGUAUAACCUUUUCUUUUUUAUCAUAAUAAAGUUUCGUCUGUCCAUGGCUUUUC